GACGAACGCUGGCGGCGUGCUUAACACAUGCAAGUCGAACGGAAAGGCCCUGCUUUUGUGGGGUGCUCGAGUGGCGAACGGGUGAGUAACACGUGAGUAACCUGCCCUUGACUUUGGGAUAACUUCAGGAAACUGGGGCUAAUACCGGAUAGGAGCUCCUGCUGCAUGGUGGGGGUUGGAAAGUUUCGGCGGUUGGGGAUGGACUCGCGGCUUAUCAGCUUGUUGGUGGGGUAGUGGCUUACCAAGGCUUUGACGGGUAGCCGGCCUGUGGGGGUGACCGGCAGUAUUGGGUACUAAGGAGGGCCCCAGCCGCGACGGGAGGACAGUGGGGGGAAAUUUGCAACAGGGGCGGGAGGUGUGUGAAGCAAGCCCGCGGGGGGGAAAGCGGCUUGUGGGGGGAAAACCGGCUUUCGCUUGAGACGAAGCUGGUUUGACGUUAAGGGAAAAAAAAACACCGGCUAGCUCCGUG
Molecule: ribosomal RNA, 469 nt
Filed under: uncultured bacterium
Lineage: Bacteria
Description: partial 16S ribosomal RNA
Rfam family: Bacterial small subunit ribosomal RNA
Source: RNAcentral